AUGGUUUCCCCUGCCACAACCAUUGUCAUCGGCCUGCAUUCCCUUGUCAAGCGUGCAUCGGUGCUGGAUAUGCAAGCUGCAACAGUGCAUCAACGGGCAGCCAAGCAGUGGAAGACAAUGUUAACUGAAGCCACUUUUGUUGGUCAUGGAUUUACAAGAAAGCCAGUAGAGUAUGAAAAGCUUAAACUGAAAGCAAUGCAUGGUAUUGUUCAAUUCGAAGUGUACUUGACGUGUGCAGAUCUGAGGAUGAAGGGAAGAAGACAGAAUUUAGCUGAAGAGUUGAAUAAGAUCAAGUCUGCUUCAGUAAUGUUGUGGCAUGCCGCAAAACAACCACAUUUUUGCUACUGUGAUUUGGUCCAUCCUAUGCAUUUCAGUUCCUGGUGA
RNAcentral lists this ribosomal RNA (384 nucleotides) under Triticum aestivum (bread wheat). Its description in RNAcentral is "partial small subunit ribosomal RNA". The record is from RNAcentral. Lineage: Eukaryota; Viridiplantae; Streptophyta; Magnoliopsida; Poales; Poaceae.